Molecule: unclassified non-coding RNA, 323 nt
Filed under: soil metagenome
Description: partial contains 5.8S ribosomal RNA, internal transcribed spacer 2, and large subunit ribosomal RNA
Rfam family: 5.8S ribosomal RNA (bases 1-120)
Source: RNAcentral
GAUGAAGAACGUAGCGAAAUGCGAUAAGUAGUGUGAAUUGCAGAAUUCAGUGAAUCAUCGAAUCUUUGAACGCACAUUGCGCCCCUUGGUAUUCCAUGGGGCAUGCCUGUUCGAGCGUCAUUUGUACCUUCAAGCUUUGCUUGGUGUUGGGUGUUUGUCCUGAGGGACUCGCCUUAAAGUAAUUGGCAGCCAGUGUUUUGGUUUUGAAGCGCAGCACAAGUCGCGAUUCAAAGCUAUACGCCAGCUUCCACAAGCCUUUUUCACUUUUGACCUCGGAUCAGGUAGGGAUACCCGCUGAACUUAAGCAUAUCAAUAGCGGAGGA